AGUCAAGCGGCAUAGGAAAAACGGUUUAUUAAAUCAUACUAUCAACAUGCGGCGCCACGUGCGUUAUUUAUGCAGAUUUCUGUAAAUUUAGGGUACGUGGCACGGUCGUUAAUAGAAACUACUCAUGCCAUCUUUUGGUAGUGUGAUUUCAAAUUAAAUCCACGAAUUUAUCCAAAAAUCCAAAAUAUUAAGCAACCUUUGGCGCGCAAUGUCACACUACAUUCAACGGUGUCAAAAAGUUUUUUCAAUUUUAAAUGUUUCAAUUUCCAAUUUGAAUUAUUUUGCUACGUGUUGUGUUCGUGGUUUUCUCUCUUUAUUUUUAUUUGGAUUCGUUUGUUGGUGUUAUCUACUCCUAAAGUAAUCUCAAAAACAUUUAAGUUUUGAACUUUCGAAGGCUAAAAUUUGCUCUGGUGUGGACCUAUUAUACACUUAAAAGGCAACCUACAACGUUUAUUAAACAACUUCUGGCUGGCUGGAACACAUGAUUCUGGAAACAGUGCAUCUCUCUACUUGUGAAAGCUAUCCAGAAACAAAUCGACUUGGGCACCAAAAAUAACUUUGAGAAUUUAAACCAAAUUUCAUUUUUCAAGUGGACUUCAAUGAUGGACACCGUUUAAGACUUCUACCUUGCACAUAGUGUCUUUUAUUUAAUACACGCGUUCAUUCAUUCAUUUGUACAAAAGCCACAAAAACGUAUCUUAACUCCCUCCUUUUUCCCGUUAAGUUUCAAGGAAACUUAGAACUCCUGAAUCCACCAAAGUGGAGUCCUUACAUUAAAAUCAGAAAAACCUCUUACGCAUAAUAAGUUCAUAUAAGUAAAUUUGUUGUAAAGUCAUCUACGUGAGCCUACUACCAACACGAAAACAUACAAGAAAUGUUUGCACAAACUAUUAAAAGCACUAUUUUUCUGUGAAAAUUGAAUUGGGCACAUGUCUAAAACUCCAAUAGUACCUUAUUAGGGUCCGUAUUUACUUAUUUAGUUCUUUAAUUUUUUUCCAAGUUACAAAAUAAUGUUAAAUAACCGUUUUUUGAGGGUGAGGAAGUCGCCAAAUUAAUAUGUGGAAGCCAAACACGACAUUUAUUUCUUAUAAUUGAUAUUUUCAUAAUUUGUGAAACGUUAAUUUAUUAAUAAAUUAUUUUCAUUCA
Molecule: long non-coding RNA, 1146 nt
Organism: Tribolium castaneum (red flour beetle)
Lineage: Eukaryota; Metazoa; Arthropoda; Insecta; Coleoptera; Tenebrionidae
Exons: 2
Source: RefSeq, a predicted model, not a curated record